RNAcentral lists this long non-coding RNA (1436 nucleotides) under Piliocolobus tephrosceles (Ugandan red Colobus). Its description in RNAcentral is "lncRNA (ENSPTEG00000006245.1)". Lineage: Eukaryota; Metazoa; Chordata; Mammalia; Primates; Cercopithecidae. The record is from RNAcentral.
UAUCAAAAUUAUGCCCUAAAACUUCUUUCUUAAAAAAAAAUAAUGCAAUGGAAAAAGCUAAAAAUAAUAUUAAUAUUAAUUUAUUACAUAACAAUCCCAGCAUAGAUGAUAAUGAACGAUAUGAGCGUAAGAUUAAUCAUUCUGAUGAUAUGUCUUUUUUAAAAUAUAAUCAAGAUAUUAAAAAAAAUAACAAAUUGGGUAUAUCAGAAAAUAAAAACAUAUUUAAUUAUGUAAAACGCAGUGAAAACAACAGUAAUGAAUCCAAUAUCAACAACAGGUUAAAAAAAGGAAAUGAAAUGCCAUAUUUAAAUGACAUGCAAAAAAUGGAUAUUUUAUGCGACAAAAAAAACUCGAACUCUAGUAAUAGAAAAAUUAUUAACAAAUGUAAAACAAUAAAUGAUAAUUUGUUAAAAACAAAUAAAAUUAAUAUAAUAAAUCAAGAAAGACAUUACAAAUUGAAUGAAACUAGAACAAAUGCCAACUCGUCAUUAGGUAAUAACUACAGCAUUAAUAUAAAUGAUAACAAUAAUCAUAACGAAGACAGUAACAACAACGGCAACAGUAAAUAUAACGAAAACAACAACAACAACAACAAUAACAACAAUAACAACAACAAUAACAACAAUAACAACAACAGCAAUAACAAUAACAGCGAGGCGUUGGAUAAAAUAAAAUUUGAAUUUCCUUUUAAAAAUGUUUAUAAAGAUAAAAAUUCAAAUUAUUUUCAAUGUGUUACAAAUAAUAAUAAAGACCAAAAAAUUGAUCGUUUAAACAAAAAUGAAGGCAGGACUAAUAUAAAAAAUAAACAGAUAGUUUCUCACAUUUUUAAAAACAAUUACCAACAACUAAAGAAAAAUAUCGAUCCACUAUUAUACAACACGGAAAAUGACUUUUAUACUGGUAUAAAUAAAAGUAGUUAUAAUAACGGGCAGAACGGACAAAAGGAGGAAAACAAAAUAAUCACCCAAUCAAAUGUUUUAGAUAGUCAUUUAUUUAAAGUAAAGAAAAAAAAUGCAGUAGAUGAUAUUUAUAAAGUUGACAUUUAUAAAGAUGACAUUUAUAAAGAUGACAUUUAUAAAAAUUAUAAUUCUAAAAUAAUAGAACCAGAAAAAGUAGUAAGUAACUUGGUAAGUUCGUUUGGUAAGAAAAAAAAGAUAGUUAAAGAUCCUAAUGAAAACAAAUUAAUUUACUAUGAAUCAGAUAUAAACAAAAAUAAAUUAAUGGAAAAGAAAAGAGAAGUAAAUAAAAACAUUCCAACUUUAGAAAAUAAAACAAGUAAUAGUAUUGCUUCAAAUUUAAAAAUAGGUAAAUAUAAAAUUAUAGAUAAUGAUAGUAAUGAUAGCGAAAUAGGUGUGGAGGUAAAAAAAAUCAAAGUCUAUUCUGAAUUGAAUGAAAAAGCUAACAACAAAAGCGAAAUAGGUUAUAGUGAGGUGAAC